Molecule: long non-coding RNA, 746 nt
Organism: Gasterosteus aculeatus aculeatus (three-spined stickleback)
Lineage: Eukaryota; Metazoa; Chordata; Actinopteri; Perciformes; Gasterosteidae
Source: Ensembl
CACACCUUCCUUAAGUCCAACAGAGGCUCAGUGUUAAUGUGUGCAUUAGUGAGGAGGAGGAGGAGGGUCCCCGGGGUCCAGCGCUUCUCCAACUUAAUUAUGACGAGGGUGGAAGGCGGGGGGGGGGACUAAUGAACUGUAGGAUUACAGAGGUGAUAAUCACUGUCUUGGUAGGUGCAUUAAAUGUCUGGCUCUGUGUCAUAAGGCUGCGAGUCUCACAGAAGACACAAGUAGAACAAGGGGUUCCCAAUAAGUCAGCGGAUCGCCUGCCUUUGGAAAAAAACAAUCACGUCGGUUGACCGAAAAAACGUUCUGAAGCGACCCUGUCUGACUCCAAUCAGCGCUGGUCAUCGAGGAAGGUCUCAUUUACCCAUGAUCCCACACUCCGGCGGCUUCGUGUUUUUUGAUGUCCAGAGGGGCCGAGUCCGAUUUAUCAUGUUUUAAGAUGACGCCUCCCAUUCAUCACCGACGGACACUCUGCUGCUUCAUUAGCCAAUAUCAGACUGUAAGUAGGGAGCUAAUUAAAUCCAAACACACCCGUUACGUAACACACACACACACGUGCACGGUGGAGUGUUUAAAGAGCAUCCCAACAUGCUAAUAUUUGCAUGUAUUUGACCCUCAGCUCGCAGCGCUGCAGCUCCGCUCUCACAGCGCAUUAAUUUAGCUUCUGAAUAAUAAAGCGGCUCCUUUUCUUCUCUUUGGUUCAGAUCACACCAACACCUGAAUACCAUAAUGGGAAGGAG